UACGUAGGGUGCAAGCGUUGUCCGGAAUUAUUGGGCGUAAAGAGCUCGUAGGCGGUCUGUCGCGUCGGCUGUGAAAACCCGAGGCUCAACCUCGGGCCUGCAGUCGAUACGGGCAAACUAGAGUACUGCAGGGGAGACUGGAAUUCCUGGUGUAGCGGUGGAAUGCGCAGAUAUCAGGAGGAACACCGAUGGCGAAGGCAGUUCUCUGGGCCGUAACUGACGCUGAGGAGCGAAAGCGUGGGGAGCGAACAGG
Molecule: ribosomal RNA, 253 nt
Filed under: uncultured bacterium
Lineage: Bacteria
Description: partial 16S ribosomal RNA
Rfam family: Bacterial small subunit ribosomal RNA
Source: RNAcentral